RNAcentral lists this ribosomal RNA (254 nucleotides) under uncultured bacterium. RNAcentral's name for it is "partial 16S ribosomal RNA". It matches the Rfam family "Bacterial small subunit ribosomal RNA", at positions 79 to 334 of the family's 1533-position model. The record is from RNAcentral.
CUUUCUUUGCUGGCGACCGGCGCACGGGUGAGUAACACGUAUCCAACCUGCCGAUAACUCCGGAAUAGCCUUUCGAAAGAAAGAUUAAUACCGGAUGGCAUACGAAUAUCGCAUGAUAUUUUUAUUAAAGAAUUUCGGUUAUCGAUGGGGAUGCGUUCCAUUAGUUUGUUGGCGGGGUAACGGCCCACCAAGACUACGAUGGAUAGGGGUUCUGAGAGGAAGGUCCCCCACAUUGGAACUGAGACACGGUCCAA